UCAAACUAUAUAAUAUGGCUUCAAAUUUUUUGGGUUUCGGUUUUGCUUCUUAAUUUAGUUUCAUGGAUAUGCGGUACUGAUUUAAAGAAGAACAGAUAGGAUGAAGAUGAAGAAAGACAAUAACCAUACUGCUUUUGCUUAUACAGUGUAGGGAUGGCCGCGUAUGUUAUACUACACAAUGUUUGUUGUUGAGCUUCAACAGCGGAUCAGAUGUCUCAGUGCUGCAUGGAAGCAUGAGAGGACGUGUUAAAUUCUUGAGCUCGAGAUCACAUCUCAGUGAUUCCAUGAUCUAUUCUUGGAAUUUCGGACGAGACAAAUGUGCAAGAUUUCAAGACUGCAGAAGUGUGGUGGGACGUGGAUUAGAGCGGCUAUAAGAAAAACGUUUCCCUGCCCUCGAGCCGACAUGGAGGUUGUUCAUUUACCGUUCCUUUUAAACCUCUGUAUGUCUGAUCGUGUGGUGUCGUCUGCUGCUCCGACAUGAAUGGAAAAUGUUACAGUUGAUCAGUUCGUUAGUGGCAUUCGCUUUCAAGUUUGUGAGGAGAAUUCUUAGGGUAUGGGUUUUAUGUUAAACAAAAUUGAUGUGCUUUGCAUUCUCAGUGCGCUUAGAUGCAUGGAAGGCCUUCAAGAGCGCCUAGAAUUCAUGUGGUUCUUUAGAUUUCCCUUUGUGCUUUUCAAGUUAAAAGUUAAUAGGGCCGGCCCUGGCCUAGUGCAAACAGCGGCGUCCAGAGCCUUUCUUCCAGACCAGUGCCCUUCUGUCGCAGCUUUCCUUAUUGGCCUCUUGACCUCCACUUCAGAAAUCGCCUAAAACUCGACUGAAUUUUACAGCAUCGGCCGCCGUCGUUCACCAUUGCAGUCCCUCUGUCCGCAGCUCAUUGAGCCUUCUGGUUACUCUUGCUCCGAGCACACUAUUCAGACGAAAGAUGGGUACUUACUGGGUUUGAGAUGUGAAGGACUAAUGAGGUUGCUUUGGUGGGGAGUGUUCCCCAUAACUGAUCCGUGAGUAAAAUAUUGAUUCUCUGGACACCUGGUUAGUGAAAAGCCUUACUUUUAUAGCUCCUCCCAAUUUUUUCAACAUAUUGGUCGCACUAAGUUGAUUAUUUCAAAAUUUGAACGUAUAGCUCACUAUAUGGUGCUCCCUGAUCUCAAGUUUCCAGGUUCUGUUGAAAGUUGCUUUCUUGAAACGAAAAAUGAUGAACUUCCGUGGGAUAUAUAUUUUAAAUUAGGCUCUAAUGUGCUUUAAACUCAAUUGAACUUGGUUACUAGCUUUUCUUGUUCUUAACCAGGUGACGCAUGGUUCUUAAAUUCUCCAGAAGAAUAGCUGGGAUUCGUCCUUGCAGAUGAAGGUUUCGAUGUAUGGGUAGGGAAUGUGUGUGGAACACGUUGGAGUCAUUGACACAAUCUUUAUCAGAAGAGAAUCAGGUUUAUACUUUAUUGUAGGAUUUUUGGGAUUGGAGUUGGCAGGAAUUGGCUCUAUUUGAUCUGUCAGAAAAGACGCGCUGCAUAUAUUCGAAGCUCCAAAGUCUAUGUUGUUGGACAUUCACAGGAACAAUAAUGUCUUUAGCUGCUCUCACCCAGCCGGACAUAGCAGAACUGGCUGAAGCUGCCGCUCUUUUCUCUCCAAUUUCGUACUCGGAACAUAUCACUUCUAAAUUUGCACCUAGAAUGGUCAACAUAUAUAUAUUGAUCAGUGAAUGGGGUGUCAACCUUUGGAUUCAAUAUGUGGUGGCCAUGCUGACUGCUUGGACUAGUUGUAUAUGAUUUUGCUUUUGAUCGUUGGGGUUUAGGUAUUAUGUUCCCCCUGUUGUAUAUUUUCUCUUUUGAGUAAUAUAAUAUGGGCGUGAGGGCCUAGCCUCCCAGCUUUGACUGGGUUCCAGCCCUCUUUAAA
This is a long non-coding RNA of Pyrus x bretschneideri (Chinese white pear), 1885 nucleotides long. RefSeq lists it as uncharacterized. The transcript is spliced from 5 exons. NCBI's taxonomy places the organism in Eukaryota, Viridiplantae, Streptophyta, Magnoliopsida, Rosales, Rosaceae. The record is from RefSeq and is a predicted model, not a curated record.